RNAcentral lists this long non-coding RNA (1230 nucleotides) under Pan troglodytes (chimpanzee). RNAcentral describes it as "long non-coding RNA NONPTRT008195". The record is from RNAcentral. Lineage: Eukaryota; Metazoa; Chordata; Mammalia; Primates; Hominidae.
GAAGACUUUCCUCUUUCCAGAGGGAAGGCAAGUUGUCAGGGACAAACACAUCAGGUGGACAUGACCGGGUCCUUAGCAGUCAAGAGAGAUGUGGUCCCCACCACCAGUUGGAUUUGGGUCCCUCAUCUCAUCCUUGUCCUUGUCCCAGGCAGCGUCAGACCCCAGCCCUGAUGUUGACAGCCAGGUGAGGCUUGAGAGCCGGGCAUUUGAAAUGUGGACGUUGAGGACAUGGAAUACCAAGUGUGAACCCAGACCCCUCACCUACCGGCUGUUGAACUUUACAAAAGUUACCUACCCUCUCUGUGCCUCAGUUUGCUCAGCUGAAAAAUACAGACAAUAAUAGAAUUGCUGUGUGGGGAUUCAGUGAGGUCUCAUGUGUAAAGUGCUUAGGACGGUGUCUGGCCCCGAGAAUUCGUUCGUUCAACUGAUGCUUCAUGGGCACCUAUGGUGCACCAGGCCCCCUGUUUUAGGAGCUGGAGAUACAGCAAAGGAUAAACUCUUAGGAUGAGAAGCUGGAACCAUGGAGGGUGUCAAAGAGAGGAAGAAGAAAAAGAAGGUUCCUGCUGUGCCAGAAACCCUUAAGAACAAGUGAAGCAAUUUCACAGAGCUGAAGAUCGAGCGCCUGAGAAGGAAUUUUGCCCAAAAGAUGCUUCGAAAGACAAGGAAGAAGCUUUUCUAGGAAAAAGCGAAGCACUAUCACAAGGAAUAUAGGCAGAUGGACAGAACUGAAAUUUGAAUGCAAGGAAGGCAAGAAAAGCUGGCAACUUCUAUGCAACUGCAGAACCCAAAUUGGCCUUUGUCAUCAGGAUCUGAGGGGUCAGUGGUGGGAGCCCAAAGGUCCAAAAGGUGUUGCAGCUUCUUCGCCAUUGUCAACUCUCCAAUGGAAGCUUUGUGAAGCUCAAUAAAGCAUCAAUUAACAGGCUGAGGAUUCAGAACCACAUAUCGCAUGGGGGCACCCAAACCUGAAGUCAGUAAAUGAACUAACCUACAAGCGUGGUUAUGACAAAAUCAAUAAGAAGCAAAUUGCUUUGACAGAUAACACUUUGAUUGCUUGAUAAAUAUGUAAAUAUAGCAUCAUCUGCUAUAUGAGGAUCCAAUUCAUGGAACCUGUACUGCUGGAAAAUGAUUUGAAGAAAUAACUUCUCGUAGCCCUUCAAAUUAUCCUCUCCACAAGGUAGAAUGAGGAAAGAGACAACCCAUUUUGUAGAAGGUGGAGAUGCUGGCAACAAG